RNAcentral lists this ribosomal RNA (253 nucleotides) under uncultured bacterium. RNAcentral's name for it is "partial 16S ribosomal RNA". It matches the Rfam family "Bacterial small subunit ribosomal RNA", at positions 524 to 776 of the family's 1533-position model. The record is from RNAcentral.
UACAGAGGUGGCAAGCGUUGUUCGGAAUUACUGGGCGUAAAGGGCGCGUAGGCGGUUCGUUAAGUCCUGUGUGAAAUCCCCCGGCUCAACUGGGGAACUGCACAGGAAACUAGCGGGCUUGAGUUCGGGAGAGGGAUGCAGAAUUCCAGGUGUAGCGGUGAAAUGCGUAGAUAUCUGGAGGAAUACCGGUGGCGAAGGCGGCAUCCUGGACCGACAUUGACGCUGAGGAGCGAAAGCUAGGGGAGCAAACGGG